CCUGCUGGGCAUUAACUGACGCUGAGGCACGAAAGCGUGGGUAGCAAACAGGAUUAGAUACCCUGGUAGUCCACGCUGUAAACGAUGAUUACUAGGUGUGGGUGGACUGACCCCAUCCGUGCCGCAGUUAACACAAUAAGUAAUCCACCUGGGGAGUACGGCCGCAAGGUUGAAACUCAAAGGAAUUGACGGGGGCCCGCACAAGCAGUGGAGUAUGUGGUUUAAUUCGAAGCAACGCGAAGAACCUUACCAGGUCUUGACAUCGAGUGACGACUCUAGAGAUAGAGUUUUCCUUCGGGACACGAAGACAGGUGGUGCAUGGUUGUCGUCAGCUCGUGUCGUGAGAUGUUGGGUUAAGUCCCGCAACGAGCGCAACCCUUGCUAUUAGUUGCUACGCAAGAGCACUCUAAUAGGACUGCCGUUGACAAAACGGAGGAAGGUGGGGACGACGUCAAAUCAUCAUGCCCCUUAUGACCUGGGCUACACACGUACUACAAUGGCCGUAAACAGAGGGAAGCAAUACAGCGAUGUGGAGCAAACCCCUAAAAGCGGUCUCAGUUCAGAUUGCAGGCUGCAACCCGCCUGCAUGAAGUCGGAAUU
Molecule: ribosomal RNA, 600 nt
Filed under: uncultured bacterium
Lineage: Bacteria
Description: bacterial SSU rRNA
Rfam family: Bacterial small subunit ribosomal RNA
Source: RNAcentral